UACGUAGGUGGUAAGCGUUAUCCGGAUUUAUUGGGCGUAAAGGGAACGCAGGCGGUCUUUUAAGUCUGAUGUGAAAGCCUUCGGCUUAACCGGAGUAGUGCAUUGGAAACUGGGAGACUUGAGUGCAGAAGAGGAGAGUGGAACUCCAUGUGUAGCGGCGAAAUGCGUAGAUAUAUGGAAGAACACCAGUGGCGAAAGCGGCUCUCUGGUCUGUAACUGACGCUGAGGUUCGAAAGCGUGGGUAGCAAACAGG
This 253-nucleotide ribosomal RNA is filed under the name uncultured bacterium. RNAcentral's name for it is "partial 16S ribosomal RNA". It matches the Rfam family "Bacterial small subunit ribosomal RNA", at positions 524 to 776 of the family's 1533-position model. The record is from RNAcentral.